UAGGUUCAAAAAGUAAUUUAUAAUGCACC
RNAcentral lists this non-coding RNA (29 nucleotides) under Bombyx mori (domestic silkworm). The record is from RNAcentral. Lineage: Eukaryota; Metazoa; Arthropoda; Insecta; Lepidoptera; Bombycidae.